This 1521-nucleotide long non-coding RNA is filed under the name Nicotiana benthamiana. RNAcentral describes it as "long non-coding RNA (NBEN_LNC002789)". Lineage: Eukaryota; Viridiplantae; Streptophyta; Magnoliopsida; Solanales; Solanaceae. The record is from RNAcentral.
AAGGACUUGAAACUGAAGGCAGAGGCUUUGAAUUCCUUGAAAUUACCAGUUACUGUCAAAGCAGGUUUUGUUGGAACCAUAACUCUUAAGGUAUUCUGAUUCUUGAUUUGUUUUAAGUUACCUUUUGGCCAUUUUCUAGCAAGUCAAUCAUCCUUUUUUUUAAACAAAUUAUUUACUUUAUGUCUUUAUGAUUUUCGUGGUUUAUAGUUCUCAUGCAUUGCUUCUUAUAGGUUGUAUCCAAAGGUUCUUCACUUGUUAUACCUAGUGUAGCUACUCAAGCAUAAACUUGUCACAAUUUUACUCUAAUUGUGAUUAUAUUGUUCCGUUGUCAUCACCUUAAUGUUAUGCUUACUAAGGUCCUUAUUUUGUUCCUGCUUUGAGCAGUGUCCAAUUGUUUUGGUCAAUGCAAAAUUCCAUGGAAAUAUUAGCAUAUGUCGAGGUAUUAGAACUAAGAAUUACUUUAUACCAUUUUUGAUAUUUUAAAAAAAUGCUCUAGCUCAUGGGGUGAGGAUUACCCAAGAUCAUAUAAGGAAAACUACAACCUAUUCCUUCCACCAAUGUGAGAAAUUUAACACUGCCUCGGCAAGCUCAUACAUGGUCGUUAGAGCGUGGAUAACAUAACAUGGAACAUUCGCUAACCAAUGGGUAUGGUUUUGAUACCAUGUUAAGAAACUAGAUCUUGAGCCUAACUUAAUCCGAAAAGCUAUCUCAUGUGGUGAGGAAUGCCCAAAACCACAUAAGAGGAUAAUAACCCCAUUCCCAAACCAAUGUGGAACAUGUAACACGAUAUAUCAAAAAGUUGGUGUGUGUAUAUAUAUUGAUAAACUAAGGUAAAAAGCUGGUAUAUCUUUUUGCUCUUUUUGUUGUUUUAUCUUUCUGAUAAGUUAAUAGUCUUCUAUAUAAGCGGAACUGCUCAUCACGUCGCUGUGCAUUGAGCUUUAAUAAAUUUACCUACUAAUGAGUUUCCUUCCUUUCCCUUCAUCUUUUUAUCAAAGGACAUUCUUUGUCUCUUUUGGCCAAGAGGCAGAUGCAAUGUAUCGGCGCUGGGUUCAACUGGACUCAUCAAUUUUGACGCGGAGCAUAAAUUUAUGUGUAAAAAUUCACUAAUAUUGCAAUACAUAGCAACAUGAACCCAUAACUUUAAAAAGAAAUGUGUUCAAUUCUAAAGACCUUAAAGGUUGAACCCAUAAAACUUAAAUCCUAGAUCCGCCUAUGUUUUUUCCCUUUUACUACCUUCUUUACCUACUAAUGAGUUUCCUUCCUUUCGCUUUAUCUUUUUAUCAAAGGACAUUCUUUGCCUCUUUUGGCCCAUACUUUCCCCUUUUAUUACCUUUUUUAUCCUUUGGUUUCAAGUAAAAUAAAACAACCUUUGAGUCUGACGCUUCAUGUACAUUGUACAAGGUAAAUUUCGCAAAAGUUUCCUUUUCCCUAUUUCGAUCUGUUUUUACAAUAUUUGCCCUCAAAUAAUCCUCUAAUCCAGCCAUCAUUUAUAUUUGCUCGAAUCUGUUAUUGCUAGUAUCC